Molecule: transfer-messenger RNA, 236 nt
Filed under: Nitrospinota bacterium
Lineage: Bacteria; Pseudomonadati; Nitrospinota
Description: partial transfer-messenger RNA
Rfam family: transfer-messenger RNA
About the family: Bacterial tmRNA, also known as 10Sa RNA or SsrA, is named for its dual tRNA and mRNA-like properties.
Source: RNAcentral
AGGUAGCCCGUCGGGGCCAGUGGGGCCUGCAACGCUGGCUCCCGACGACAUUACAGCAGGCUAGUCGACGACCCCCGUCCCGGGGUUGCCGGCGAAACUUCUGGGACUGGUCCAACCCGGAUCCUGUCGACCGGAGCUGGCGCGGACGAGACAGCCACAAAGUAGAUCGACUACGCACGUAGUGGUCUCGUAGGACUCACUUUCGGACGCGGGUUCGAUUCCCGCCGCCUCCACCA